RNAcentral lists this ribosomal RNA (306 nucleotides) under uncultured soil bacterium. RNAcentral's name for it is "bacterial SSU rRNA". It matches the Rfam family "Bacterial small subunit ribosomal RNA", at positions 26 to 351 of the family's 1533-position model. The record is from RNAcentral.
AGAAUGAACGUUGGCGGCGUGGAUUAGGCAUGCAAGUCGAGCGCUCAUCAGCAAUGAUGGGAGCGGCGAACGGCGUAGUAAGACGUAGGAACGUACCCUCGGGACGGGGAUAGCUACGGGAAACUGUAGGUAAUACCCGAUAAUCUCUGCGGAGCAAAGGUGUGAUUCCGCCGUGGGGAGCGGCUUACGCGAUAUUAGCUAGUUGGUGGGGUAAUGGCCUACCAAGGCGAUGAUGUCUAGGGGGUGUGAGAGCAUCGGCCCCCACGACCGGAACUGAGAUACUGCCCGGACACCGUACGGGUGCUG